RNAcentral lists this small RNA (1138 nucleotides) under Histoplasma capsulatum var. duboisii H88. RNAcentral's name for it is "Histoplasma capsulatum H88 hypothetical RNA". The record is from RNAcentral. Lineage: Eukaryota; Fungi; Ascomycota; Eurotiomycetes; Onygenales; Ajellomycetaceae.
UGCAUUGAUCGAUGAUGGAGAUAUUUCCCUCAAUUCCUUGAUUUACACCUAUUCUCUAUCUUCCUCAAUGAGCUAUUGGUACAGAAUAGGCUUGAGUUGAGUUGGACAGCACCAAACAAGGCAGAGUAACCAGCCACAUCCAUCCCUUGCUGCCAAAAACGUCCAACUCUCUGGACAACUGGAACAUUAUCGCCCAAUCGGGAGAUCCUGCAAAAGCAAGGUCGCCAGCAUGGGAUUUCCUUAUCCGGCUGAGCGAUUAAAUCCUGUCUGUACGACUUACGAUAAAAUGAAUGACAAAAAUAAAUAAAUAGAAAAACACUAGUGAAGAUGGGCCGACGAGACUUGAUUCCUGACGAGCUACUAGUCGACGCUGCCGUGCCAUUUCGUGAUGGAAAUCCAAUGGUCAGUCCUUGAGAAGAGCUGUGAAAAGGUUCUUGGGUGUGCGAGGGGGUGAUAAAAGUGACGGUAUCACACCCACAUGCUACGUAGGAACCGGUUCGGUGACAAAAAGGUGCUUCAGCUGGGAAAGAAGGAAAGUACCUCAUUGCGGCGCUGAGUUUUGGGGACCCGAGGAACGACAACAACCCACAUCGACGGCCAUAUAUGCCUGGGGGAAAAGUGCCAGGAAAGUUAUUGCGAGAGGGUUUUGGAAUCAACCCCUGUACCUAGGUGGCCCUUUGAGGAGGCUCUGUUGGGGGAGCAUCCAUCUACAACAUCAGGGAGCUUUACCACUACGACGAGGAAAUCAGCAAAAUGUUUUGAUGAAUAUCCCUCAUCCUUUACGUGGCCCUCCCUUCCUUCUGGCUCUGAGAGGCACAACCACCUACUUGAAUUGUACUCGAGGACAGCGAUCGUGAGCAGUGCGACGACCAUGAAUGGGAGGAGGUGGGGAUGAUGAUGAUGAUGUGCUUUUUUGAUGAAUGGCCCUCCUUCUGCCCUCCUUUUGUCCUUUCUCCGCUUUAGCCUGAUCAAGCUCAAAGUUUGGUGCCUGAAGCUUGACCAAACUCUUCAUCUGUAACUUUCUGCAGUCAUUUGAGGUUCAGUACGCGUUUUGUACGGCGUAUUGAUCUUUCAUUUUAUAUUUCACGCUCCUCCAUGUCCUCCAUGUAAUCAUGGCCAGAACCAGCAUACCCAGCCA